CCCGCUUUAACGAUGAAUUACUUUAAUAUUGGAUAAUCAUAGGCAAUCACUUUUAAAACUCACGAGUAGACAACUUACAAUAACACAACGACAAGUUGUCUAAAUAAUAUAAUUCUCGAAGCUAUUGGUUUAAAAUCUCUACAACACAUCAAUAAAGUAAAAUAGACUAAGUGUUGCAGCGGAAAUAACUCAAGUGGAUUACAUGUAUGAGGACAUGAAAUCCUGAGCCUGGUUUAAUACAUAUACAUCAAAGAAUUUGCUCUGCUCGCUUCCAUCUGCACCACAGCUUAACCUGCAUAUUUAGAAACAUACGCAGGGCUGAGUACCAAAAAGCACUCAGUGGUCAUACCGAAAUAACUUUAAAGCUUGCUCUUAGAGCUAUAUAUUGAACUUGCCAUCUCAAUCAUCACACAGGAGUUUUAUUUAAAUAACCUGUGCAUGCAAGAAUGUAAAACUUCUCUAUAAUCGUCUUAACAUCAUAUACGUCUGCAGACAAUUAACAUGUAUGUACCAUAUCUACGCAUCAUAUAACUCUGAGUGUUGAGAAGUAGGCCUCCUUCUCAAACACGAUGACAAGCUAACACUAAGGUUAACUGCCAACUCUGUGUACACAAAUCCUGACUCGCUCAGGACCCGAAUUCGUUGUUCUAUGUAGAUGGUAUCAUACAAAUCUCAAAUAUUGGCAAGUCAAUAAUUGGAAAAUAAAUGCAUACACUCAAACUUUAUAUAAUAAAGUAUGCAUCUUUACUUCUUGAGUUAGUAAGCCCACCUGAUAUACUUAAUGAAGUAAAAGUCCUUGCUUGUUCACUUUAUAGCCACUCGAACCUUCAUUAUAAUGAGGUUCCCAGGUAAGAUUGGAUAAUAAGUAAGUAAAUAGAAAGUAAAUCUUGAAUGAAAACUUCUAUCACUUGAAAGUUGCAUCCUCUAAUGUGAGUAUUCUACUUAUAUGGACUUAACUAACUAAAAACAAACAAUAACAUCAUAUCUCUUGGGAUAUCUCAAAUUGAAAAAGUAUAAGAGUAAACUAAUCCAUUCCAUAUAGAUUAGCUUUCAAUUAAUAACUAAAACAUCAAUUCAACAAUUGACCAAUGACUUAAGCACAGUUGUACUCAACUAUCCCAAGUAAGUAACUUCAAAUAUGUAAUCAU
This 1148-nucleotide long non-coding RNA is filed under the name Salvia miltiorrhiza (redroot sage). Its description in RNAcentral is "long non-coding RNA (SMIL_LNC006999)". The record is from RNAcentral. Lineage: Eukaryota; Viridiplantae; Streptophyta; Magnoliopsida; Lamiales; Lamiaceae.